UUAAAAGUUGAUGCCCACGUUUGAAGCCCAGCCCAAAGCAAUAAAUGCCCACGUCUCUACUCCUUUGCCGGCCCACAGCCCAAACCAUUGGCUGCCGGCGAAGACACAACAAAGAGCGGUUCCUGCUCGCCGCCGCCGUCGACAGCAAUCCGGCCGUGCUGCUCUGCUCUCCGACCAAGCACCCGCCCUCUUCUCCGGCCAAGAAGCUCGUCUCUGAUCGGUCCACAUCCAAAAGCGGGCCCCACUCAUGGGACUCAUGGCCGCCGCCGCCGCGCUCCCGGACUGGGUGAUCCUCGACCGCUUCAUCUUCCUCAGGAACGCCGCCGCCGCCGCACCCUUCCCGGCCAGCAAGGGCUACGACGCACCAUUGACAGCCUCCAGCUCCACCUCACAGGGCAUCCAAUUCCGCAUCGCUCUUCGCCUUGCCGAUCCCCCAACCACCUCCCGCCUCUACGCGUACUUCCCACCACCCCUCGUGGAUCCGGACCGCAUCGGCUGCAGUCUCCUGGAGGCCCACGGCGACCUCCUCCUCUUCGGGGUCACCGACGAGGUCAAGCCCCGCGACCCCUUCGACGACCGCCUCUGCUGCCAGGACCACUUCCUCUGCAGAGUAGCCACAUCGGAUCAUCAUCUGUUCCUCAAACGGCUUCCGGAAUAUACCCACCGGAUCUUGGUGGGCAAAGACAAGUAUGAUGGCCAUGAUGUUACUAUGCAGCGUCUGUUUUAUCCUAAAUCCCGGUAUCUUGCGCGGCCGCGAUGAACGAAAACAAGAUUGUUUCGCCGUAGCGCAUCUGGACAGGAUUUGUCAGCUUCCAAGCAUCUGGAAUACAGAACUGGUCAGGACUGUUCAUCCUCAUUCCUCGAUGACGAUGAGGGAAGCUGAAAUUUCUGUGCUCCAUGCCAGCGUAUCAUCUUGUGAUGCUGCUGCUGAUGGUGCCGCCGUGUGGGAGGUUAAGCGAUUUCCGAUCCUCCAUCCUCAGCAUGAAGACUUGGAUAUCUGUGGUUGGGCGACUGACGCCGUGUUCCCCUUCAAGGCUUACAUCUGCUGGGUUGAUUACUACGUCGGAGGUAUCUCAUUCUUCGAUGUGUUUGCACAAAGUCCUGAGGUCUCUUACCUUGAGUUGCGUAGCUGUGCUCGGCAUCAGUACUCAUAUGAUUUCAAACGAAACGUAGAGAUGUACCGGAGCAUGUGUGUCACCAGAGACGGUGAUUUUCUCAAGUUUGUUUGUGUCGACCUGAGGAUGGCGAGUUUGGUGGCCCGGGAUGCUUCCAUGAAAUUAGAUAAAGUGUGGCCUUCUAUUUGCGCAAACUUUGCGUGUGACCCAGAAGAUGUUCUAACAUGUCCUCUUGUGAGUAUGGAGAAUGCCGAUCGGCUGCAUUUUCUCUUCUCUGAGACCAUGGAUGAUGACAUCGACAAGGUUUCGGUUGUUACCAUUGAUAUGAAUACCGAGACACUAGUGUCAAUUGAUCCCUACAUUAAAGGGGGAGCUGAGGAUGACACGCUCGAGGAAAAGUGUCGUCUUCGCAAGAGUUUUCUUCCCUCCAAGUUCCCUCAUGCCACCAAGGUAUUUGCACCUGACAUAUUUAGUCGUGCAGUGUUCAUCAACUGCAUACAAACUGUUGCUUUUGUUGAUCUUUAUUUAUGCCGAGCAUAUAUGGGAAUAACCAACGUCCUAUGAUUGU
Molecule: RNA transcript, 1683 nt
Organism: Brachypodium distachyon (stiff brome)
Lineage: Eukaryota; Viridiplantae; Streptophyta; Magnoliopsida; Poales; Poaceae
Exons: 2
Source: RefSeq, a predicted model, not a curated record